RNAcentral lists this non-coding RNA (562 nucleotides) under Dictyocaulus viviparus (bovine lungworm). Its description in RNAcentral is "Eukaryotic small subunit ribosomal RNA". It matches the Rfam family "Eukaryotic small subunit ribosomal RNA", at positions 1 to 587 of the family's 1831-position model. The record is from Rfam by way of RNAcentral. Lineage: Eukaryota; Metazoa; Nematoda; Chromadorea; Rhabditida; Metastrongylidae.
UACCUGAUUGAUUCUGUCAGCGCUAUAUACUCAGUUAAAAGAUUAAGCCAUCAAUGUCGAGUUCAACUUUAAAAUGAAACUGCGAACGGCUCAUUAGAGCAGAUGUAAUUUAUUCGGAAUUAUUCAAAUGGAUAACUGCGGUAGUUCUGGAGCUAAUAAAUGCGAUAAAACCCUGACUUUUGAAAGAGUGCAAUUAUUAGAGCAAAUCAGUGAUAUUCGGAUGUAUAGUUUGCUGACUCUGAAUAACGCAGCAUAUCGGCGGCAUAGUUCGCCGAUAUUCCGAAAAGGUGUCUGCCCUAUCAACCUGAUGGUAGUCUAUUAGUCUACCAUGGUUAUUACGAGUAACGGAGAAUAAGGGUUCGACUCCGGAGAGGGAGCCUCAGAAACGGCUACCACAUCCAAGGAAGGCAACAGGCGCGAAACUUAUCCAAUCUUGAAGAGAUGAGAUAGUGACUAAAAAUAAUAGACCAUUUCUAUGGAACGGUUUAAUGAGUUGAUCAUAAACGUUUUUUCGAGUAUCGAGUGGAGGGCAAGUCUGGUGCCAGCAGCCGCGGUAAUUCCA